Molecule: ribosomal RNA, 499 nt
Filed under: uncultured bacterium
Lineage: Bacteria
Description: bacterial SSU rRNA
Rfam family: Bacterial small subunit ribosomal RNA
Source: RNAcentral
CGGCGUGCUUAACACAUGCAAGUCGAACGAGAAGAGAUGAGAAGCUUGCUUCUUAUUAAUUCGAGUGGCAAACGGGUGAGUAACGCGUAAGCAACCUGCCCUUCAGAUGGGGACGAACAACUGGAAACGGCUGCUAAUACCGAAUACGUUCUUUUUGUUCGCAUGGCAGAGAGAAGAAAGGGAGGCUCUUCGGAGCUUUCGCUGAAGGAGGGGCUUGCGUCUGAUUAGCUAGUUGGUGGGGUAACGGCCUACCAAGGCGAUGAUCAGUAGCCGGUCUGAGAGGAUGAACGGCCACAUUGGGACUGAGACACGGCCCAGACUCCUACGGGAGGCAGCAGUGGGGAAUCUUCCGCAAUGGACGAAAGUCUGACGGAGCAACGCCGCGUGAACGAUGACGGCCUUCGGGUUGUAAAGUUCUGUUAUACGGGACGAAUGGUGCGACGGUCAAUACCCGCCGUAAGUGACGGUACCGUAAGAGAAAGCCACGGCUAACUACGUG